Molecule: long non-coding RNA, 180 nt
Organism: Lagopus leucura (white-tailed ptarmigan)
Lineage: Eukaryota; Metazoa; Chordata; Aves; Galliformes; Phasianidae
Exons: 3
Source: RefSeq, a predicted model, not a curated record
UUUCCAGCCUGAGACCUGAGCAUAUCCACUGUGGCAUGAAGAAGAUGCUGAAUUCAAAUUGAUCAUGCUUUGAGAUGGUGCUGUAUCCAUGAUCUGAAGACCAAGACAACAGGAGAAGAGGAGCAAGAGGGGUCUCUCCAAUGCAUCAAAUUGUAAAUGGCUAACUCAACUGACCUAGGG